RNAcentral lists this ribosomal RNA (402 nucleotides) under uncultured prokaryote. RNAcentral's name for it is "bacterial SSU rRNA". It matches the Rfam family "Bacterial small subunit ribosomal RNA", at positions 355 to 774 of the family's 1533-position model. The record is from RNAcentral.
UAGGGAAUAUUAGUAAUGGGCGAAAGCCUGAACUAGCAACGCCGCGUGUGCAAAGAAGGCCUUCGGGUUGUAAAGCACUUUUUGGAAGGAAUAGGAAGGAAUGUACUUCCAGAAUAAGUCUCGGCUAACUACGUGCCAGCAGCCGCGGUAACACGUAGGAGGCGAACGUUAUCCGGAUUUACUGGGCGUAAAGCGCGUGUAGGUGGUUCUGUAAGUAGGGCGUGAAAGCUCCUGGCUCAACUGGGAGAGGCCGUUCUAAACUACAGAACUAGAGGAUGGUAGAGGGAUGUGGAAUUCCAGGUGUAGCGGUGGAAUGCGCAGAUAUCUGGAGGAACACCAGUGGCGAAGGCGGCCUCCUGGACCAUUCCUGACACUCAGACGCGAAAGCUAGGGUAGCAAACG